RNAcentral lists this ribosomal RNA (443 nucleotides) under uncultured bacterium. RNAcentral's name for it is "partial 16S ribosomal RNA". It matches the Rfam family "Bacterial small subunit ribosomal RNA", at positions 338 to 795 of the family's 1533-position model. The record is from RNAcentral.
CCUACGGGUGGCAGCAGUGGGGAAUAUUGCACAAUGGGCGAAAGCCUGAUGCAGCAACGCCGCGUGAAGGAAGAAGGGUUUCGGCUUGUAAACUUCUUUCAACAGGGACGAAAGCAAUGAUGGUACAUGCAUAAGACGCCCCUGCUAACUACGUGCCAGCCGCCGCGGUAAUACGUAGGGGGCAAGCGUUAUCAGGAAUUACUGGGUGUAAGGGGUGCGUAGGCGGCAUGGAAAGUCAGAUGUGAACUCCUUGGGCUUAACCCGAGAACUGCAUUUGAUAAUGUCAGGCUAGAGUACGGGAGAGGAAGGCGGAAUUCCUGGUGUAGCGGUGAAAUGCGUAGAGAUUAGGAAGAACACCAGUGGCGAAGGCGGCUUUCUGGACAAAAACUGACGCUGAGGCACGAAAGCGUGGGGAGCGAACAGGAUUAGAUACCCUUGUAGUC